RNAcentral lists this ribosomal RNA (586 nucleotides) under Septotinia populiperda. Its description in RNAcentral is "partial large subunit ribosomal RNA". It matches the Rfam family "Eukaryotic large subunit ribosomal RNA", at positions 67 to 668 of the family's 3401-position model. The record is from RNAcentral. Lineage: Eukaryota; Fungi; Ascomycota; Leotiomycetes; Helotiales; Sclerotiniaceae.
AACAGGGAUUACCUCAGUAACGGCGAGUGAAGCGGUAAAAGCUCAAAUUUGAAAUCUGGCUCUUUCAGAGUCCGAAUUGUAAUUUGUAGAAGAUGCUUCGGGUGUGGUUCCGGUCUAAGUUCCUUGGAACAGGACGUCAUAGAGGGUGAGAAUCCCGUAUGUGACUGGAUACCUAUGCUCAUGUGAAGCUCUUUCGACGAGUCGAGUUGUUUGGGAAUGCAGCUCAAAAUGGGUGGUAUAUUUCAUCUAAAGCUAAAUAUUGGCCAGAGACCGAUAGCGCACAAGUAGAGUGAUCGAAAGAUGAAAAGCACUUUGGAAAGAGAGUUAAACAGUACGUGAAAUUGUUGAAAGGGAAGCGCUUGCAAUCAGACUUGCCCCUAGGCUCCGAUGGUAACUUGUUACCGUUUAUCUGUCUAGGGUCAGGCCAGCAUCAGUUUGGAUGGUUAGAUAAAGGCUUGAAGAAUGUGGCCCUUUUCGGGGGGUGUUAUAGCUUCAGGUGCAAUGUAGCCUAUCUGGACUGAGGACCGCGCUUCGGCUAGGAUGCUGGCGUAAUGGUUGUAAGCGACCCGUCUUGAAACACGGACCA